Drosophila virilis is the source of this 1822-nucleotide non-coding RNA. The record is from RefSeq and is a predicted model, not a curated record. Lineage: Eukaryota; Metazoa; Arthropoda; Insecta; Diptera; Drosophilidae.
UUUAUUAUUUUUUAUUUAUUUUCUUCCCUAUGCUUCUUAUAAAUACAGAAUAUAGAAAGUGAUGGAUCUACUGGAAGGCUGUUUUUUCCAAACAUAUAACUACGUUCCGAACAUUUCGCGGAUGUGACUUUAUUACUAGAUGUUAUAAUAAUGCUUGUUUGGCUUACUCUCAUAGUUUUAGAGUUUAUUUAAGAAGCAGAAGUUAAUCCUUGGUUCCUACGCAGCCAUGCUUGGAAAACUAUUACAAGGUAAAUGUUUUGUCAAAGAGUCAAGCCAAAACCAAAACACAGAACAGCACAGAUUAAGGCUGGAGAAAUUGAAAAUUGGGAAAAUCCUGCACACAAGCCGAAAAACACGUUGAAAAGUCAAAAGUCCGGCUUACGCUUAAGCGCAAUUAGCGUUAAUUGCGCCGGGCCACAGGAACAACAAGAUGAAGGACAACAACGCCAACAAUAAGCAUUAUGGCAAAAGCAAAAGCAAAAGCAAAAGCAGAAACAACAACAGAUUCCCACAGUCAACAACUGAGUUGCAUGAGGCCACAUCCACAUCCUGGCAGAAGCCAGGACCUGCCGCUGUUGCCGCUGCACACACGCAACAUUGCGGCCACUUGAAGUUUAAUUUAAUUUUUUCUUGCGGCUGCCGUCGCAGCGUCGCUUGAUUCAAGUGCCAGCACCCAGGGAUUGGCUGUUCAUUGGCGGGUCAUUCGGUGGGUGGUCGGGUGGUUGUGUGGUUAUAGUUAACAACGACAUCAACAUUAUCAUCAUCAUCAUCAUCAUCAUCGACAUCGACAUCGACAACGGCAACAGCAACGGCAGCCACAUCGAAGACGACAUCGGAGCGCCAUCGCAAUCGCAAUCGACGUUCGUCAAGCUCGUGUCGCAACUUGCGAUGAUUGAUGGUGCGUAAUUUGGAAAAUUAGAAGCACAUGAAAGGACAGGCAGGCAGGAUAUUCAGGAGCAACUCGAGCUACAGAAAAGGGGUGGCUCAGGUUUUUUGGGCCAUCGAAUGCGAGGCGCAACGCCCUUGCUAAUGUUGUUGGCACAACAAGGUGUGUCCUGGCUGGUCGGCUCGUAUGCCGCGUGUCCUGGCGCGUGCAGCCCAACAAAGUUGCGCGUGGUUAUUAGAAAACAAUUUAAUUAAAUAUUCACUUGAAACAGCCGAGCCGCAGCAAAAACUCCAGCGUCGCUUUCUCAUCAUAAAGAGCUCUAACAAUGCCCAUCAAUAUUAAACGAUGUCCAUUUAGACCGAUUCAGUUCACGUCCUGCGUCCCCGUUCCCGUUCCCGUCCUCCGACCCAUCCUCGUCCUCGUCGCUGGUCCGUGAUGUAAUGUGAGAAAGUUUUUGUUUUUUGUUUUGUGGGUGGGCUGAAAUUAAGAGUUAGACCCUGACAGCAAGGAAACGCCUUUGAUCUAGUUUGCAGCCACUUCUUUUAGGCGCGGGAUACGACUUUUUGUUUUUAACAAUUAGAAAGAUUUAUUAGUUAGGAGAUGGGGAACUCUAAAGAUUAGAGAUGUAGGUUCAAUUAGGUUCCAUAAGAUCGCUCGGUCAAAAAUUGAAUUAUUCAAGAUUGAUCGAAAAGCUUUCAUUGGAUUGUUCGCUAGCAAUUAAGUUGUAUAAGUUGUAUCGGACUUUAUUGCUAGAGCAACAUUAAGAUCAUAUUGUAUACAUUCCUUGGAGCCUUGGAUGCAGGCAAUAAUAAAUCUGUUCUUGUUAAUCUGAAAACAAAUUUAUAACAUGUCAUGUUAUCAAUCUAAAUAAUUAAAAUGUUCACUAAGCCACGCUAAAAAUCUAUAAUAAAUUCCUGCAAGUAUUAAAAAACGUUA